AGAUGAGGCUGGGUAGUUGAUAGAUCCUAUAGUUCAACUUUGUUCCUAGAUACACUAGAAGGUGGAUUCAUCUGACGCCAAAGCUUUUGGCUAUGUCUUUUACAGAAAUGAAAUUUCAGGAGGCCAGAACUGGAUGUCAGGUUUUUUUCUAGAAACUUCUUUCCCAGCCUUGAAACUCUUGGGUGCUGUAAGUCUUGGAUAUACAACAUGCCAUCUGCAUUUUUCUUUUAUGUAUGAAGAUGAAGAUGAUUCUUCAAAUUAAGAGGGAAGCUGACUUUUCUCAUCAGAAUCAUUUACAGAAUCAACUUGCAAAAAAUAUAAAAGGCUGCAAACAAAGGAAAAAGUAAAAUAUUUUCAUUUAUCAUCCUUAGAUUCUUUGCUAGACUGUAAACUCCAUGAAAGCAGGAUAACUUCCUUAUCCUUAUCACUUGGCCUAGAAUAAAUGCUCAAAAAAUAUUUGAAAU
Molecule: long non-coding RNA, 464 nt
Organism: Phyllostomus discolor (pale spear-nosed bat)
Lineage: Eukaryota; Metazoa; Chordata; Mammalia; Chiroptera; Phyllostomidae
Exons: 3
Source: RefSeq, a predicted model, not a curated record